This 254-nucleotide ribosomal RNA is filed under the name uncultured bacterium. RNAcentral describes it as "partial 16S ribosomal RNA". It matches the Rfam family "Bacterial small subunit ribosomal RNA", at positions 524 to 776 of the family's 1533-position model. The record is from RNAcentral.
UACGGGGGAUGCAAGCGUUAUCCGGAUUUAUUGGGUUUAAAGGGUGCGUAGGCUGUGAGGUAAGUCAGCGGUGAAAUGCCCCCGCUCAACGGGGUGAAGUGCCAUUGAUACUGCCUUGCUGGAAUGCGGAUGCCGUGGGAGGAAUGUGUGGUGUAGCGGUGAAAUGCAUAGAUAUCACACAGAACACCGAUUGCGAAGGCAUCUCACGAAUCCGCUAUUGACGCUGAUGCACGAAAGCGUGGGUAUCAAACAGG